GGCAAAAUGGCAGCGUCCAUACCAGGCAUUUGAAAGAUUUUAUGCCGUGUCUAUCCUUUACUUUUAGGCAGAAUAAGUUUCCAAAGAGGUUACCUGUCAGGCGUUGGACCCAGGCUGUUUCCAUGUGUGAAGUCCAGCCUCUCUCUGUGCACUGCAGCCUAACCUGAAAUCUCCAGUGAUGCUGCUGUGGCAGUGGAGACUAACUGUUACAAGGACAGACCAUGGGGCAACCUGGAGAGCGAAGAGUACAUAGAGCACUAACUACAGGAGGAACCAGAAAGGAGGGAUUCCCCCUCAGAAGACACGCAAUACCUGCAUUGUAGGUGUAACAGCAGUGGUUCUGUAACCUUGCCUGAGACCUGGAGACUUGUGGCAGCUCUCCAAGCUAUUGUCUAGGCUUUUUUGGAGAGUGCACAGAUAUUCAGAGGAUGUCUACCAUGAUGCUGUCUGCUCUGUGUUAGGCUAUGUAACUCCAUAUUAUUAUUAUUAUAUUCUCCACCAGACAGUCACACGAGUUCGUACUGUUAGGUGACCUAAACUGGGAUAUGCUUAACACUCCGGCCGUCCUACAAUCUAAGCUUGAUGCCCUCAAUC
Oncorhynchus mykiss (rainbow trout) is the source of this 594-nucleotide long non-coding RNA. RefSeq lists it as uncharacterized. The record is from RefSeq and is a predicted model, not a curated record. NCBI's taxonomy places the organism in Eukaryota, Metazoa, Chordata, Actinopteri, Salmoniformes, Salmonidae.